GGGGAUUUAGCUCAGUGGUAGAGCACUUGCCUAGGAAGCGCAAGGCCCUGGGUUCGGUCCCCAGCUCCCCCC
Molecule: transfer RNA, 72 nt
Filed under: Rattus norvegicus (Norway rat)
Lineage: Eukaryota; Metazoa; Chordata; Mammalia; Rodentia; Muridae
Rfam family: tRNA
About the family: Transfer RNA (tRNA) molecules are approximately 80 nucleotides in length. Their secondary structure includes four short double-helical elements and three loops (D, anti-codon, and T loops). Further hydrogen bonds mediate the characteristic L-shaped molecular structure. tRNAs have two regions of fundamental functional importance: the anti-codon, which is responsible for specific mRNA codon recognition, and the 3' end, to which the tRNAs corresponding amino acid is attached (by aminoacyl-tRNA synthetases). tRNAs cope with the degeneracy of the genetic code in two manners: having more than one tRNA (with a specific anti-codon) for a particular amino acid; and 'wobble' base-pairing, i.e. permitting non-standard base-pairing at the 3rd anti-codon position.
Source: Rfam by way of RNAcentral